This 490-nucleotide ribosomal RNA is filed under the name uncultured bacterium. RNAcentral's name for it is "partial 16S ribosomal RNA". It matches the Rfam family "Bacterial small subunit ribosomal RNA", at positions 30 to 507 of the family's 1533-position model. The record is from RNAcentral.
AUUGAACGCUGGCGGCAGGCCUAACACAUGCAAGUCGAAUGGUAACACGAAACUGCUUGCUGUUUCGCUGAUGAGUGGCGGACGGGUGAGUAAUGUCUGGGAAGCUGCCUGAUGUAGGGGGAUAUCUACUGGAAACGGUAGCUAAUACCGCAUAACUUCUCAAGCCCAAUGAGGGUGACCUUCUUGCCUCUUGCCAUCAGAUGUGCCCAGAUGGUAUUCGUUUGUAGGUGGGGUAACGGUUCACCUAGGCGACGAGCGGUAGCUGGUCUGAGAGGAUGACAGGCGACACUGGAAGUGAGACACGGACCAGAGUCCUACGGGAGGCAGCAGAGGGGAAUAGGGGACAAUGGGGGGAAGCCUGAUGCAGUGAGGCCGCGUGUAUGAAGAAGGCGUUGGGGUUGUAAAGUAGGUUUAGCGGGGAGGAAGGGAGUAAAGUUAAGACGAAGGGUGAUUGACGUUAACCGGAGAAGAAGCACCGGCUAACUACGUG